AUACGGAGGGUACGAGCGUUGUUCGGAAUUACUGGGCGUAAAGCGCGUGUAGGCGGCCGUAAAAGUCGGGUGUGAAAUCCCGGGGCUCAACCCCGGAACUGCACCCGAAACUAUAUGGCUAGAGUCCCGGAGGGGGUGGCGGAAUUUCCGGUGUAGAGGUGAAAUUCGUAGAUAUCGGAAGGAACACCAGUGGCGAAGGCGGCCACCUGGACGGUGACUGACGCUGAGAUGCGAAAGCGUGGGGAGCAAACAGGAUUAGAUACCCCGGUAGUCC
RNAcentral lists this ribosomal RNA (274 nucleotides) under uncultured bacterium. RNAcentral describes it as "partial 16S ribosomal RNA". It matches the Rfam family "Bacterial small subunit ribosomal RNA", at positions 523 to 796 of the family's 1533-position model. The record is from RNAcentral.